CAACAGACCACAGUUGAAUCACAAGCCACUCAUUGUGCAAUGCACAAGUCAAUGUAUAAGCAGCACACAAGUCAGCACCAUGUCAAUGGUGAAGUUCGGGAUGGCUAUCAAUGCAGCGGCCUUGAGCUUGUAGGAGCCAGCAGAGGCUCAGAGUUUGAUUAUUUCAGAGAGCAGAAAUCCAGUGCUUGAUUAAUGGGUUCUGCAGCACCAGCAUUCACUCAUCGGUAGCUGGCUUCUCCUCCUUCAUUGCGAGAACACACAUACAACACACAAGCACCAUAUUCACAACAUACUGCCCAGACCAGCCACCACUCCAUCAAUACACAUGGAAUGUAUUGCAAACACAUUCAUCAUCUCCAUGAAAUAUCACAACACAUCACAUACAUUUCUACAACACACACAAACA
This 406-nucleotide unclassified non-coding RNA is filed under the name Hevea brasiliensis (rubber tree). The record is from RNAcentral. Lineage: Eukaryota; Viridiplantae; Streptophyta; Magnoliopsida; Malpighiales; Euphorbiaceae.